Molecule: unclassified non-coding RNA, 458 nt
Filed under: uncultured fungus
Lineage: Eukaryota; Fungi
Description: partial contains small subunit ribosomal RNA, internal transcribed spacer 1, and 5.8S ribosomal RNA
Rfam family: Eukaryotic small subunit ribosomal RNA (bases 1-73)
Source: RNAcentral
ACAAACUUGGUCAUUUAGAGGAAGUAAAAGUCGUAACAAGGUUUCCGUAGGUGAACCUGCGGAAGGAUCAUUACCAAUCUCUAGCGGGGGCCCUCAUGGUCUCGCGAAAUUAUUCUGUAUUUAAAACCCAACUCAUAAAAUUAAAUACACACUUUGUAUACGUUUACGAUAUACGUAAAUAAAGAUCACUUUCAACAACGGAUCUCUUGGCUCUCAGAGACAGACAAACUUGGUCAUUUAGAGGAAGUAAAAGUCGUAACAAGGUUUCCGUAGGUGAACCUGCGGAAGGAUCAUUACCAAUCUCUAGCGGGGGCCCUCAUGGUCUCGCGAAAUUAUUCUGUAUUUAAAACCCAACUCAUAAAAUUAAAUACACACUUUGUAUACGUUUACGAUAUACGUAAAUAAAGAUCACUUUCAACAACGGAUCUCUUGGCUCUCGCAUCGAUGAAGAACGCAGC